Theobroma umbraticum is the source of this 1413-nucleotide RNA transcript. It is a transcript of the gene named orotidine 5'-phosphate decarboxylase, with no coding region annotated. The record is from RefSeq and is a predicted model, not a curated record. Lineage: Eukaryota; Viridiplantae; Streptophyta; Magnoliopsida; Malvales; Malvaceae.
AUUUACUCAAACAAAGAUAACAAAUAGAAAAUUAUUAGAUUCUUUUGGGUAAGAGAAAAAAGAAGAGAAGAUCAUAGAAAACACGACACAGCCUAGGACGGGAACGUCGCUGUAUUGUGUUGCUUGUGGCAAAUGAACUUCUGGGCGGUCCCGACGUGCUUCUCUAAGCAAUAAAAUCUUGGUUUUUCAGGACCCCAAAUUAUUCAAACAUAAAAUAAAAUAAAAUUUUGGUUUUUAAUUUCGUUCAAACAACUCUCUGGGAACCAUUCAAAAAACUCGUGGCUUUAAGCAUUUAGUCUUUAACAAAGAUUCCUUCUUUUCUUUUUUGGGGUUCGAAGCUUACUACAUCAUCCCUUCCCUCCAGGACGACUUCCACCUAAAAACCCUUUAAGGCUAUAGUAGGAUGGUUCAAUGAUGUUAACGGUGAAUCCUCCGGGAGCCAUCAGCAAAAGCCAGGCCGCGUUUCUGGGCAAUAUUACCCUUUUCUGUAAACUGCCUUCUGCUGCGAUUCACCGUAAGCUACCUGCAGGGAUUCACUGCAAUUUGCCAUCCUGGAAAGAUUCCAGGAAGCUUACUACCCAUCAUCUUGUAUCACAUCGAGUUGCUCCAAAGAGAUGGCUGUGUCAAUCAAGUGGUUCUGUUUCAUCGGAUGAUGAGUAUCGUUCAUCAAGGAAUAUAGCAAUCAGCCUGUUUAGGCGAUACAGGAAUGUCAUCGACCGUGGAGGAGGUGACAACCUAAAAGAGUUCAUUAGUGCUGGGGUCAAUGCCUAUGCAUUGGGCUGCACAGAUGAAGGAUUGCGGAAAGAACUUAUUGCCAUGAAAGAAUCUGGCAUCGAAAUCGAAGCAAUGCAGAACUAUGGCGGAAGCACCAGCUUGAAAUCCAAGAUUUGUGCAGAGGAGGUGGAUGAGUGUAUUUUAUGGCUGAGCAUUAUAUUCAUCACCAUAUUGUGUACACCACAGCCGACCAUCGUCAGAUGGUCCUCUACACCUCCAGUGUCAGAUGAUGUCCUGCAUCAGUGGAAAGGCUUCUGUGCUCUCAUAGCAAAUGCAUAUUAUAUAAGAGGAAUGGCAUGGCUUCCAGUAAAGACUCUCCAGCUAGAGCAAAUGGCCGUGGUUGGACGAGCUGAGGAGCCAUCAGUUGUUGCUAGCCGAAUGCGACUAGUUUUUAGCACACUUGAGGUAGUUAGUCCACAGUGGCCAAGAGUCUAAUAAGUUGUUUUGACAUUGAAGACAUCCGGUUUUCCGAGGAUCUUAUGUUGGAGCUUUGGUUCUUUUUAUUGCAGGCAUGCAUAGAUUUGUGAAGUGGAUUUUCAUGGGAUAAACUAGUAUGCAGCUCAUGCUAUGCAUUAUGCUUCAGAUGAUGCUUUCUUCAAUUCCAUGAACAAAUCAAAUAAAUGUUAAGCUUAACAGGAC